Stegodyphus mimosarum is the source of this 73-nucleotide non-coding RNA. Lineage: Eukaryota; Metazoa; Arthropoda; Arachnida; Araneae; Eresidae. The record is from Rfam.
GCCUUCGUGGUGUAAUGGUCAGCACACUGAGCCAGUAUUUCAGAGCUCCGUGGUUCGAUCCCCGGCGAAGGCG